Molecule: ribosomal RNA, 376 nt
Filed under: uncultured Psychrilyobacter sp.
Lineage: Bacteria; Fusobacteriati; Fusobacteriota; Fusobacteriia; Fusobacteriales; Fusobacteriaceae
Description: bacterial SSU rRNA
Rfam family: Bacterial small subunit ribosomal RNA
Source: RNAcentral
UGUCGGUGGCGGACGGGUGAGUAACGCGUAAAGAAUUUGCCCUUCAGACUGGGACAACUAAUCGAAAGGUUAGCUAAUACCGGAUAUUAUGAGACCUUGGCAUCAAGGACUUAUGAAAGCUAUAUGCGCUGGAGGAGAACUUUGCGUUCCAUUAGCUAGUUGGUAGGGUAAUGGCCUACCAAGGCGACGAUGGAUAGCCGGCCUGGGAGGGUGAACGGCCACAAGGGGACUGAGACACGGCCCUUACUCCUACGGGAGGCAGCAGUGGGGAAUAUUGGACAAUGGACCAAAAGUCUGAUCCAGCAAUUCUGUGUGCACGAUGAAGGUCUUCGGAUUGUAAAGUGCUUUCAGGUGGGAAGAAGAAAGUGACGGUACC